GGCCUCCUUCUCUUAUUCUCCACACUAUACAACUUCCAGCACUUUAUUUUUUUUUUUUUUACAUUUUUGUUAAAUUUGUUAAAUAUUUAGUGUAAUAUACUUCUUUAUUAAAUGGGUAUUGUGAAUUGUUACAUGUUUUUAUUAAAUGGGUACUGAUGCUCUUGCAAUGACGUAGUGUAAUUGUGCAAAUUAUUAAGAAAAUCAAUUGUUUAAUACUUUAAUUUCUUAUUUGCUUGAAUUGGGACA
Molecule: unclassified non-coding RNA, 246 nt
Filed under: Hevea brasiliensis (rubber tree)
Lineage: Eukaryota; Viridiplantae; Streptophyta; Magnoliopsida; Malpighiales; Euphorbiaceae
Source: RNAcentral